This 484-nucleotide ribosomal RNA is filed under the name uncultured bacterium. RNAcentral's name for it is "partial 16S ribosomal RNA". It matches the Rfam family "Bacterial small subunit ribosomal RNA", at positions 30 to 507 of the family's 1533-position model. The record is from RNAcentral.
AUUGAACGCUGGCGGCAGGCCUAACACAUGCAAGUCGAGCGGAUGAAGGGAGCUUGCUCCUGGAUUCAGCGGCGGACGGGUGAGUAAUGCCUAGGAAUCUGCCUGGUAGUGGGGGAUAACGUCCGGAAACGGGCGCUAAUACCGCAUACGUCCUGAGGGAGAAAGUGGGGGAUCUUCGGACCUCACGCUAUCAGAUGAGCCUAGGUCGGAUUAGCUAGUUGGUGGGGUAAAGGCCUACCAAGGCGACGAUCCGUAACUGGUCUGAGAGGAUGAUCAGUCACACUGGAACUGAGACACGGUCCAGACUCCUACGGGAGGCAGCAGUGGGGAAUAUUGGACCAUGGGCGAAAGCCUGAUCCAGCCAUGCCGCGUGUGUGAAGAAGGUCUUCGGAUUGUAAAGCACUUUAAGUUGGGAGGAAGGGCAGUAAGGUAAUACCUUGCUGUUUUGACGUUACCAACAGAAUAAGCACCGGCUAACUUCGUG